GGCGGACGGGUGAGUAAUGUCUGGGAAACUGCCUGAUGAGGGGGAUAACUACUGGAAACGGUAGCUAAUACCGCAUAAUGUCGCAAGACCAAAGAGGGGGACCUUCGGGCCUCUUGCCAUCGGAUGUGCCCAGAUGGGAUUAGCUUGUUGGUGGGGUAACGGCUCACCAAGGCGACGAUCCCUAGCUGGUCUGAGAGGAUGACCAGCCACACUGGAACUGAGACACGGUCCAGACUCCUACGGGAGGCAGCAUG
Molecule: ribosomal RNA, 254 nt
Filed under: uncultured bacterium
Lineage: Bacteria
Description: partial 16S ribosomal RNA
Rfam family: Bacterial small subunit ribosomal RNA
Source: RNAcentral